Hydra vulgaris (swiftwater hydra) is the source of this 1407-nucleotide non-coding RNA. The record is from RefSeq and is a predicted model, not a curated record. NCBI's taxonomy places the organism in Eukaryota, Metazoa, Cnidaria, Hydrozoa, Anthoathecata, Hydridae.
GCUUGUUUUAUUAACUUCUCAAUAAUACUAUAUAAAUAGAUACAACACUAAAAUUUCAUAAUUUUUAAAACCCAAAUAUUUUACCAUUCUAUUUAAACUAAAACGCAAACUUGAACACUAGCGUGGUUAUUGAUACACUUGAAUACCUGUUUUAUUUGGAGUUGAUUUUGUUUUAUUGCAAGCCAUAUUACAAAUUUAUUAAACAAUAUAUAGAGGAAAACAACUCCCAUGUUGCUACUUAACUAUGUACGUCUUACAAAUGACAAAAUCCACUCCCCAAAUUCUUUUGCAAGACGAAGACUAUCGUUAUUUAACGAGCAAAUGAAGUUAAUCAGUUUUAUAAAAAUGACGCAUUUGAAGAAUUAAAGGAGAGAACAAUAAUAUCACUCUAAUAAGUUAUCUUAUGUCUAAAUAAUUAUAAAAACAAAAUAUGCAGUUAAAAUGGCUAAAUAAUUACGUCAACAAGAGUUGGCGCAAUGACAACAAAAAUAAAAAGUUAGUCGCAAUAAGAAUGUUAAUUCAAUAUAGUUUAAACUAGUUAAAUAUAAAAUAUUUUAUCUUUUUGCAUUGCUUUCCUCUGCUGAAAUUGUUAAUUUCUAUGAUCAAGGGUUCAUAAUAUAUUUAUGCAUAUGUUAAUACCCGAAAAAAUAUUAGAUUCAAACCAAAAGAAAAAUAAAUUAAAGUAUUAGAGCAUUUUUAGUAGAAUAUGAAAUUUUUAAACGUUACACAACUUAGAUGAUUUAAAUGAUUUCCGAAUAAAAAAAUAAAAACAAGAAUUUUAAAACCAGAAUCUCAGAAGUUACCUAAUUCAAAAUUAAUGCUUCGGUUAGGUUAAACUUCAUAAUAAUUAAAAAGGUUAAAAUAUUAAUGGAUUUACUAGUAAGUUAACAAUAAAUAAUGAUGUUGAUUUAAGUGUAAACCCAAAGAGUCUGAAUUAGAAUUGAAAUUAAGAUAAUUGAAUAAAUAAAUAAUAACAGAGCAAAGUUAUAAAAAUUUCUAAUAUAAAAUUAUUUAAUAAAAGUAAAUGAGGUAAACUUUUGAAAAGUCACAAAAAAAACAACAACUGAAUAACUGAUUUAGAAUAAUAUUUAAAUAAAAUAUCUUAAUAACAAUACUUUACAGCUUGUAAAGUUAAACAGAAAUAAAGAUAUUGAAAUUAAUCUACUUAAAAAUGCAAUUGAUCGUAUGAAAGCUACGCUAGAGUGUUUAAUGCUCAAUCAGAAAAGCGACAAGCUGGAAUAAAAACACGUCCAGGUGCAGUAACAUCAAUAGAAAAAAAAAACAAUCAUGAAGUAAGAAAGGAAUUAAAGGAAGAAAAGAAGACCAAGAUAUUAUUCAAACAUAAUUUGUAUUGUAUUUACAAUUAGAUUUAAUGCUUUAAAGAAUUUUAUGAUUUAAAAAUAAAAA